GACGCUGAGUAACGCGUAGGGACCUGCCCCGAAGUGGGGAAUAACUGCCCGAAAGGGUGGCUAAUACCGCAUGGAGGGGCCUGCGUCCGAUUAGCUCGUUGGUGGGGUAACGGCUCACCAAGGCGACGAUCGGUAGGUGGUCUGAAGGACGAUCACCCAGACUGGACUGAGACACGGCCCAGACUCCUACGGGAGGCAGCAGUCGGGAAUUUUGCGCAAUGGGCGAAAGCCUGACGCAGCAACGCCGCGUGAGGGAUGACGGCCUUCGGGUUGUAAACCUCUUUUGUCAGGGACGGUACCUGGCGAAUAAGCCACGCUAACUACGUGCCAGCAGCCGCGGUAAUACGUAUGGCGAGCGUUGUCCGGAUUUACUGGGCGUAAGAGCGCGCAGCGGUCGUCCAAGUCGCGUGUGAAGCCCCCGGCUCAACUGGGGAGGUCACGCGAUACUGUUCACUCGAAGGCAGGAGAGGGAGUGGAAUCCCGGUGUAGUGUGAAAUGCGUAGAUAUCGGAAGGAACACCAGUGGAUCACAGUGAAUUCGC
Molecule: ribosomal RNA, 541 nt
Filed under: uncultured Chloroflexota bacterium
Lineage: Bacteria; Bacillati; Chloroflexota
Description: bacterial SSU rRNA
Rfam family: Bacterial small subunit ribosomal RNA
Source: RNAcentral